This 774-nucleotide ribosomal RNA is filed under the name uncultured Neocallimastigales. RNAcentral describes it as "partial large subunit ribosomal RNA". It matches the Rfam family "Eukaryotic large subunit ribosomal RNA", at positions 23 to 646 of the family's 3401-position model. Lineage: Eukaryota; Fungi; Neocallimastigomycota; Neocallimastigomycetes; Neocallimastigales. The record is from RNAcentral.
AGAGAGAGACAUGCGCGCAUAUCAAUAAGCGGAGGAAAAGAAACUAACAAGGAUUCCCCUAGUAACGGCGAGUGAAGCGGGAAGAGCUCAAAUUUGAAAUCUUAAAGGGUUUCCCUUUACGAAUUGUAGUUUAAAGAAGUGUUUUCUGUUGAGGUUUUGGUAAAAGUUCUUUGGAAUAGGACAUCAUAGAGGGUGAGAAUCCCGUAUUUGACCUUUACUUUCAACUUUGUGAUGCACUUUCAAAGAGUCGGAUUGUUUGGGAAUGCAGUCCAAAAUGGGUGGUAAAUUUCAUCUAAAGCUAAAUAUUGGCGAGAGACCGAUAGCGAACAAGUACCGUGAGGGAAGGAUGAAAAGAACUUUGAAAAGAGAGUUAAACAGUACGUGAAAUUGUCAAAAGGGAAGCGUUUGACACCAGUGUUGUUUUUCUGAAAAUCAAUUAAAGAACUGUUUAUGCUAAGCUGUUUAGACUUUAUCAGCUAUCUGUUUAGUUUUGAGCUUUUCUUUAAUGCACUUUUCAGUUAACAAGUCAACAUCAAUUUCUUUUGCUGUAAAAAAGCUUGAGGAAGGUGGCUUGAGAUUCGUCUUAAGUGUUUAUAGCCUCUUGCCUAUGCAGUCGGAGAGAUUGAGGUCUGCAGCGUAGAUCCUUCGGGGCUAAAUGCAUUUGUGCUAAGUUAUAGCAUUUUAUAGACAACUUGUUGACUAUGAUUUGUCUUGUAGCUUACUCGCUUAUGUUAUUUUACCUACGCUUAGGAUGUUGAUGUGAUACUGCGAGCA